AAUGGGCGAAAGCCUGAUGCAGCAACGCCGCGUGAGCGAUGAAGGCCUUUGGGUCGUAAAGCUCUGUCCUUGGGGAAGAAACAAAUGACGGUACCCUUGGAGGAAGCCCCGGCUAACUACGUGCCAGCAGCCGCGGUAAUACGUAGGGGGCGAGCGUUAUCCGGAAUUAUUGGGCGUAAAGAGUGCGUAGGUGGCCAUGUAAGCGCGGGGUGAAAGGCAAUAGCUUAACUAUUGUAAGCCUUGCGAACUGUGUGGCUUGAGUGCAGGAGAGGAAAGUGGAAUUCCUAGUGUAGCGGUGAAAUGCGUAGAUAUUAGGAGGAACACCAGUGGCGAAGGCGACUUUCUGGACUGUAACUGACACUGAGGCACGAAAGCGUGGGGAGCAAA
RNAcentral lists this ribosomal RNA (387 nucleotides) under uncultured bacterium. Its description in RNAcentral is "bacterial SSU rRNA". It matches the Rfam family "Bacterial small subunit ribosomal RNA", at positions 370 to 772 of the family's 1533-position model. The record is from RNAcentral.